Molecule: ribosomal RNA, 253 nt
Filed under: uncultured bacterium
Lineage: Bacteria
Description: partial 16S ribosomal RNA
Rfam family: Bacterial small subunit ribosomal RNA
Source: RNAcentral
UACGUAGGGUGCGAGCGUUAAUCGGAAUUACUGGGCGUAAAGCGUGCGCAGGCGGUUUUGUAAGCCAGAUGUGAAAGCCCCGGGCUUAACCUGGGAAUGGCAUUUGGGACUGCAAGGCUUGAGUGCGGCAGAGGAGACUGGAAUUCCUGGUGUAGCAGUGAAAUGCGUUGAUAUCAGGAGGAACACCCAUGGCGAAGGCAGCAAACUGGGCAUCAUCUGACGCUGAGGCGCGAAAGCGUGGGUAGCAAACAGG